This is a long non-coding RNA of Diospyros lotus (date-plum), 3329 nucleotides long. RefSeq lists it as uncharacterized. The record is from RefSeq and is a predicted model, not a curated record. The transcript has 3 exons. NCBI's taxonomy places the organism in Eukaryota, Viridiplantae, Streptophyta, Magnoliopsida, Ericales, Ebenaceae.
UGCCAUUUGAAAUGGCUGAAUAGAGAGUGGGAGAGGGAGAGCAAGGAGAGUGAGAUCAGAGAUGAGAUUGAGAGAGAGUUGGGCCGAGGGAGCUUAACCGAGGCACUGCACGAGAAAGAGCUUGUGGGAGAGAAAUGAAGAGCUUGAUGGCCGAUAUUGGCUAUGGCGGUAGCAGCCUUUCGCUGCUAUGCAGUGGCCGAAAGCCUUCGCGAGGGAGAGAAAAUAGAGCAUUACCGAGAGAGAGGGAAUCAGGCAGAGAGCGUGCACGAGAAAGGGAGAUUAAGAGAGGGAGAAGGCCGGCGUUGGCCGGUUUUGCAGCAGCUGGAGGUGGAGCAAGGCCGAGCGGCCAUGGCUGCGGUGCUAGAGCUUGGGGUGUGGCAAUGGAGGCUGAGGCAGAAGCUGCUGGUGGAAGUCGAGCAAGCAAUGUCUGAGGCGGUGGCCAGCGACGAGUGAAGCAGCGGCAGUGGUGGCCUGGAGCAGCGACUCGGCCAUGGCAGCAUUGCACGCAAGGGAGGCCGGAGCUGGCAGCUGGUUCGCGGCGGUCCUAGGCGGCGUGGUGCGAUUGGUAGUGGCUGUUGGUGGCGGAGCCGGCAGCAGGAGUGACUGGUAGAGGCCGGUGAUGCGGCCGCGUGAGAGUGGCUGUGCAUUGUGAGGAAGAAGAAGAUCGAGGGAAGAGGGAGCAGCCACGGGAGUGAAGAAAUGAAGAAGACGAUGAAUAGUGAGGAGAAAAAGAAAAUAAAAAAAUAUAGAAAUAAAGAAAAUCUGGGAAAAAGGAAAAAAAAUAGGAGAAAAAUUCCAGAAAAAUCCAGAAAAGUUCUAGAAAUUAUUUCGAGACCCGUGGAGCAUACUGGAAGCUUGAGAAUGGGAUUUUGAGCGCAAGUGGCAGCUCGAGAGGCAAUGCCGGUGUGGGCGGUUGGCCGAUUUUCGUUUCCAAAUUGUCCGAGGUUUGACCGGGGAGGCGGUGAUCCUAGAGGAACUAGAGGUUCGGGCUGGAAUUCAGGCCAAGGCAGAGAUGAGGCUUCGAGCCAGAUAAUGCAAGUCCGGAUGCAAGCAGGGAUGGCGCCGAGAGGCCGUUGUGGCAACUAGCUGUGUUGCCCGAGUUAUGUAUUUUAUUGUUGCUUGUAUGUAGCCAGGUGGGCGUUGUGUAUGUAUUCCCUUAUGAGUAAAUGUCGGUGUUAUUGAGCUUAAAUGUAUUUAAUUGUGUAAUCAUCAUAGUGUGAUAGAUGAUUGUGAGAUUACUUGUUGAAUGUGGCAUAGUUGGUAAAGACAAGUUUCGGACUGAGUCAAGAUCAGUAAGGUAUGUUCUCAUAAAUCCCCAAUACUCAGCGAAGUGUUUGUAUGCUAGCUUUGUGCCUGGGUCACCUCUGGCUUGCUAUGGGGUGAGCUGAAGAGAGGUGAAGCUCACUCAGGUUUCGAGUCUUGGUCCGCUGGAUUUUCUUAUUUGAGUUGGGACCGAUUCCUGAGUGGAGCGAAGGGAAGGACGAAGUCUAGUUCCCACCUAGGGCGUUUCCUGUUGAAACAUAGUUCAACCCUUCAGUUGUGGUUGUCGGGUGAGUAAUCUGGUCGAUUAUUUACCGGUGGCGCCCGUAAGUGGGAGCGGGUCGUUACAAUAACGCUUGGUUUCACUAGCAUAUAUUCAGAAAUCCUUAUUCUUGUGACAAUAAAGCAAAUCCUCAUCCUCAAAGUUAGAUCCAUUCCUACCAUAGAUCAAGACAACCUCAAGGUUAGUCAAAUCAAAGUUUAAACCCAAAUCAUAUAUUUAUGCUUUGAUACCAACUGUAAUGCCCCACUUUUCAGAUACAUAACGAAGCAAUAAAAUAUUCGUUAUAUGCUAAUAAUAACCUCGAGCAUUAUUGGAAACCCUUAAUUUACAGAAGCGCUGGAUCGAACCUGCAAGCUUAACUAAACUUAAUAAAAAGGGUUUCCAUCGGAUUUCCUUCACAGGCACAAGUACUGUAUAUGACCUUCAAUACUCUAGAAAAAAACACAAUACGUCACUAUAGGUACAACAACUGUAGGACACUCACACACACACCUCUUACAACCUCGAGUAUCCUAGCCGUUAUUUACAAUACAUAAUUUGAACUACAACGGUACAUAAUGGAAUAAAAUCCAGAGCUAGCUGCAAGACCCAAAGCUAACCGAGCACCACCUCUUUGCCCUUGCUCGAACUGGAACCUUGAUCACCUGGCACGUCUAAUAUACCUGGAACAUUGAAUAUCCUAGGGGUAUGAAACACCCGAGUUAGAUUGUUACAUCUAAGUGAGUGGUACAGGAAAAAAAACCAUGCAUGCAAGAGCAUUAAGCAAUUAAGCCAGGAAAAAUGGAGAAAUAAGUACAAAUCUCUAAAGAACAUGUCAAUUUAAAACCUUCAUAAGUCACUAGCAUCCCUGGCAGCACUCGUGUUGAACAUCUCAACCUCACCUCUAGGCUAAGCCCCACCUCUGGGCACGUGAUCAUGGUCCAACCCCUCACGCCUCACCUCUAGGAACGGCCCCACCUCUGGGCAUGGGAUUUCCCCCCUGAUCAUCGUGAUGUUCCACGAACAAGCUGCUAAUCAUCAUGUUCAAAUUCCAGUCCCACCAACUAACCACAAAAUAUAACACAGAGAUGCAUAUAUAUAUAGGCAGGAUAUGCUCAAAGGAAGGAAAUAUGAGAUGUAAGCCACCAACCAUGUGAUGUUGUGUGACAAAGUAGAAGGAAUAUGAUAUGCAAGCCAUUUUCCACGCACGAAAGCUAUCGUGUUCAAACCUGAUGCAACAAAAUAGAAAGGAUAUUGAUUGAUGCUCAAAAAUGUCAAAAUUUUAUUAUAUUUAUGUAACACCCCCUCUCCUAGAACUGCCCGAGAAGAGGUGCUACGGGGAAAAUAAAAUAAACUAACUGAUAAUCUGAAAUCUGAUACCAUGACUGAACAUCUCAAUCAAUUGGAAUAAAAACUCUUAGUCAAUACAAACUGAAAUGCAUAAACUCUUACUGAGGGACAAUCCCUCAACUGAAAUAUAAAAUAAGAUCUAAUCUAAGAAAACUCUAUAGAACUCAACAGACUCCCAGACAUCUUUUAUCUUGAGCGGCUCCACGUACACACACUACUGAACACUACUGCUAGGCCCCACAUCUGAUACUCCCCUACUAGAACCUGGAGGGGUGAAGAGUACAAGGUGAGCUACAAAAGCUCAGCAAGUAAUAAGCUGGAAAGAAUACUGAAGCUGAAUCGAAGAAUAUCGAUACUGAUAAAUAACUUACUGAACUUGUACUGAAUAAUUACUGUCUGAUUGCAUUCAUAAAAAAUGUAAUGCACAUAAACUGUAAACUAAAUGCAGGUAUGCAAC